UGGAGCAUGUGGUUUAAUUCGAAGCAACGCGAAGAACCUUACCAGGUCUUGACAUCCCCUGACAACCCGAGAGAUCGGGCGUCCCCUUCGGGGGACAGGGUGACAGGUGUGCAUGGUUGUCGUCAGCUCGUGUCGUGAGAUGUUGGGUUAGGUCCCGCAACGAGCGCAACCCCUAUUGUUAGUUGCCAUCAUUCAGUUGGGCACUCUAGCGAGACUGCCGGUAAUAAACCGGAGGAAGUGGGGAUGACGUCAAAUCAUCAUGCCCCUUAUGACCUGGGCUACACACGUGCUACAAUGGUUGGUACAACGAGUUGCGAGUCGGUGACGGCGAGCUAAUCUCUUAAAGCCAAUCUCAGUUCGGAUUGUAGGCUGCAACUCGCCUACAUGAAGUCGGAAUCGCUAGUAAUCGCGGAUCAGCACGCCGCGGUGAAUACGUUCCCGGGCCUU
RNAcentral lists this ribosomal RNA (447 nucleotides) under uncultured Streptococcus sp. RNAcentral's name for it is "bacterial SSU rRNA". It matches the Rfam family "Bacterial small subunit ribosomal RNA", at positions 933 to 1382 of the family's 1533-position model. The record is from RNAcentral. Lineage: Bacteria; Bacillati; Bacillota; Bacilli; Lactobacillales; Streptococcaceae.